UACAGAGGUGGCAAGCGUUGUUCGGAAUUACUGGGCGUAAAGGGCGCGUAGGCGGCUUUUUAAGUCAGACGUGAAAUCCCCCGGCUUAACCUGGGAACUGCGUCUGAUACUGGAUGGCUUGAGUAUGGGAGAGGGAUGUGGAAUUCCAGGUGUAGCGGUGAAAUGCGUAGAUAUCUGGAGGAACACCGGUGGCGAAGGCGGCAUCCUGGACCAUUACUGACGCUGAACCGCGAAAGCUAGGGGAGCAAACGGG
RNAcentral lists this ribosomal RNA (253 nucleotides) under uncultured bacterium. RNAcentral describes it as "partial 16S ribosomal RNA". It matches the Rfam family "Bacterial small subunit ribosomal RNA", at positions 524 to 776 of the family's 1533-position model. The record is from RNAcentral.